Molecule: ribosomal RNA, 440 nt
Filed under: uncultured bacterium
Lineage: Bacteria
Description: partial 16S ribosomal RNA
Rfam family: Bacterial small subunit ribosomal RNA
Source: RNAcentral
CCUACGGGGGGCAGCAGUGGGGAAUAUUGCACAAUGGGGGAAACCCUGAUGCAGCGACGCCGCGUGAGUGAAGAAGUAUUUCGGUAUGUAAAGCUCUAUCAGCAGGGAAGAAAAUGACGGUACCUGACUAAGAAGCCCCGGCUAACUACGUGCCAGCAGCCGCGGUAAUACGUAGGGGGCAAGCGUUAUCCGGAUUUACUGGGUGUAAAGGGAGCGUAGACGGCAGCGCAAGUCUGAAGUGAAAUCCCAUGGCCUAACCAUGGAACUGCUGUGGAAACUGUGCAGCUGGAGUGCAGGAGAGGUAAGCGGAAUUCCUAGUGUAGCGGUGAAAUGCGUAGAUAUUAGGAGGAACACCAGUGGCGAAGGCAGCUUACUGGACUGUAACUGACGUUGAGGCUCGAAAGCGUGGGGAGCAAACAGGAUUAGAUACCCGUGUAGUC